GACGAACGCUGGCGGCGUGCCUAACACAUGCAAGUCGAACGAGAAUCUUUGGAAUGAUUCUUUCGGGAUGAAUUCCAAAGAGGAAAGUGGCGGACGGGCGAGUAACGCGUGAGUAACCUGCCCAUAAGAGGGGGAUAAUCCAUGGAAACGUGGACUAAUACCGCAUAUUGUAGUUAAGUUGCAUGACUUGAUUAUGAAAGAUUUAUCGCUUAUGGAUGGACUCGCGUCAGGUUAGAUAGUUGGUGAGGUAACGGCUCACCAAGUCAACGAUCUGUAGCCGAACUGAGAGGUUGAUCGGCCGCAUUGGGACUGAGACACGGCCCAGACUCCUACGGGAGGCAGCAGUGGGGAAUAUUGCGCAAUGGGGGCAACCCUGACGCAGCAACGCCGCGUGCAGGAAGAAGGUCUUCGGAUUGUAAACUGUUGUCGCAAGGGAAGAAGACAGUGACGGUACCUUGUGAGAAAGUCACGGCUAACUACGUGCCAGCAGCCGCGGUAAUACGUAGGUGACAGGCGUUGUCCGGAUUUACUGGGUGUAAAGGGCGCGUAGGCGGACUGUCAAGUCAGUCGUGAAAUACCGGGGCUUAACCCCGGGGCUGCGAUUGAAACUGACAGCCUUGAGUAUCGGAGAGGAAAGCGGAAUUCCUAGUGUAGCGGUGAAAUGCGUAGAUAUUAGGAGGAACACCAGUGGCGAAGGCGGCUUUCUGGACGACAACUGACGCUGAGGCGCGAAAGUGUGGGGAGCAAACA
RNAcentral lists this ribosomal RNA (750 nucleotides) under uncultured bacterium. RNAcentral describes it as "bacterial SSU rRNA". It matches the Rfam family "Bacterial small subunit ribosomal RNA", at positions 28 to 774 of the family's 1533-position model. The record is from RNAcentral.